CCCGCUGAACUUAAGCAUAUCAAUAAGCGGAGGAAAAGAAAAUAACAAUGAUUCCCCUAGUAACUGCGAGUGAAGAGGGAUAAGCUCAAAUUUUAAAUCUGUUAGGUUCACCUAACCGAGUUGUAAUUUGAAGAGACGUUUUCUCGCUCUUGAUCAGCCCAAGUCCUAUUGAAUGAGGCAUCGUGGAGGGUGAUAAUCCCGUACGGUUGAUCAAUGCGUUUUACGAUACGUUUUCAAAGAGUCAAGUUGUUUGGGAUUGCAGCUUAAAAUGGGAGGUAAAUUUCUCCUAAGGCUAAAUAUUGGCGAGAGACCGAUAGCGAACAAGUACCGUGAGGGAAAGAUGAAAAGUAUUUUGAAAAGAAGGUCAAAUAGUACGUGAAAUUGUUGAAAGGGAAACGAUUGAAGUCAGUCGUACCGACGAGUAAUCAGCCUUUUUGGGUGCGAUUAUGUGGUACAUGGAAAGAUUUCAUUAUCGCAUAUUUGUGCAUUUUUGGUGUACUUGCUCGUAUGGUAGGUUAACAUCAAUUUCGAUCAUCAUAAAAUGACGGGAGGAAUGUGGCUUCUCCGGAAGUGUUAUAGCCUCUGGUAGAUGUGAUGAUUGAGACUGAGGAUUGCAACGGAUACCCUUUGGGCUACCUGUCUGAUCUCUGGUCGUCGCUUUGGUGCUGAAAGCGUGCUUAUGGUUUCAAAGUUAGGUGGCCAAAAGGUUAGAACGGGUUAAAUUCGUUAAGGAUGUUGACGUAAUGGCUUUAAACGACCCGUCUUGAAACACGG
This 774-nucleotide ribosomal RNA is filed under the name uncultured fungus. Its description in RNAcentral is "eukaryotic LSU rRNA". It matches the Rfam family "Eukaryotic large subunit ribosomal RNA", at positions 24 to 664 of the family's 3401-position model. Lineage: Eukaryota; Fungi. The record is from RNAcentral.